This 592-nucleotide ribosomal RNA is filed under the name Shigella flexneri. RNAcentral's name for it is "partial 23S ribosomal RNA". It matches the Rfam family "Bacterial large subunit ribosomal RNA", at positions 2313 to 2899 of the family's 2925-position model. The record is from RNAcentral. Lineage: Bacteria; Pseudomonadati; Pseudomonadota; Gammaproteobacteria; Enterobacterales; Enterobacteriaceae.
AAGGUUGGCUAAUCCUGGUCGGACAUCAGGAGGUUAGUGCAAUGGCAUAAGCCAGCUUGACUGCGAGCGUGACGGCGCGAGCAGGUGCGAAAGCAGGUCAUAGUGAUCCGGUGGUUCUGAAUGGAAGGGCCAUCGCUCAACGGAUAAAAGGUACUCCGGGGAUAACAGGCUGAUACCGCCCAAGAGUUCAUAUCGACGGCGGUGUUUGGCACCUCGAUGUCGGCUCAUCACAUCCUGGGGCUGAAGUAGGUCCCAAGGGUAUGGCUGUUCGCCAUUUAAAGUGGUACGCGAGCUGGGUUUAGAACGUCGUGAGACAGUUCGGUCCCUAUCUGCCGUGGGCGCUGGAGAACUGAGGGGGGCUGCUCCUAGUACGAGAGGACCGGAGUGGACGCAUCACUGGUGUUCGGGUUGUCAUGCCAAUGGCACUGCCCGGUAGCUAAAUGCGGAAGAGAUAAGUGCUGAAAGCAUCUAAGCACGAAACUUGCCCCGAGAUGAGUUCUCCCUGACCCUUUAAGGGUCCUGAAGGAACGUUGAAGACGACGACGUUGAUAGGCCGGGUGUGUAAGCGCAGCGAUGCGUUGAGCUAACCGGU